RNAcentral lists this non-coding RNA (209 nucleotides) under Clostridium collagenovorans. RNAcentral describes it as "T-box sequence". It matches the Rfam family "T-box leader". Rfam says of the family: Uncharged tRNA acts as the effector for transcription antitermination of genes in the T-box leader family. T-boxes are found upstream of many aminoacyl-tRNA synthetase genes and some amino acid biosynthetic genes usually in Gram-positive bacteria. The record is from RNAcentral. Lineage: Bacteria; Bacillati; Bacillota; Clostridia; Eubacteriales; Clostridiaceae.
UUUAAACCUUUGAUAAGGCUAGUAACUUAAAUGAGAGUUAAAGAGAGUCGGUGGUUGGUGUAAAUCGAUGCUUAAAUUUUUGUGAAUCCACCUUUGAGGGACUGUGAUGAGCAGUACGGUUAUAGCCGUUAAUUAUAUUAAGAGGGUUAAGAUAAGAUUUAUUAUUUUAAUCAAUUAGGGUGGCAACGCGGAGUCUAUUCGUCCCUGUA